RNAcentral lists this ribosomal RNA (441 nucleotides) under uncultured bacterium. RNAcentral describes it as "bacterial SSU rRNA". It matches the Rfam family "Bacterial small subunit ribosomal RNA", at positions 358 to 796 of the family's 1533-position model. The record is from RNAcentral.
GGAAUAUUGGUCAAUGGGCGAGAGCCUGAACCAGCCAUCCCGCGUGCAGGAUGACGGCCCUACGGGUUGUAAACUGCUUUUAUGUACCAAGAAUAGGCACUACGUGUAGUGUUAUGACGGUAGUACAUGAAUAAGCAUCGGCUAACUCCGUGCCAGCAGCCGCGGUAAUACGGAGGAUGCAAGCGUUAUCCGGAUUCAUUGGGUUUAAAGGGUGCGUAGGCGGUCUUAUAAGUCAGUGGUGAAAUACUGCAGCUCAACUGUAGAACUGCCAUUGAAACUGUGAGACUUGAGUGCGCCUGAGGUAGGCGGAAUGAGUAGUGUAGCGGUGAAAUGCUUAGAUAUUACUCAGAACACCGAUUGCGAAGGCAGCUUACUAAAGCGUAACUGACGCUGAUGCACGAAAGCGUGGGGAGCGAACAGGAUUAGAAACCCGGGUAGUCC